Molecule: long non-coding RNA, 259 nt
Organism: Saccostrea echinata
Lineage: Eukaryota; Metazoa; Mollusca; Bivalvia; Ostreida; Ostreidae
Exons: 3
Source: RefSeq, a predicted model, not a curated record
UCCAAUUCACAGAGGACCACUAUGUUUCAACUGUCCACAGUCGAACAAUCCCUCUCUUUGUGAAACAGUUGAUGUCUGUAAUGUAGAUGAGGUCUGUCACAUUCACUUAGAAAGAGAGUUUGGAGAUGCAUUUUAUUCUCAGUCUUGUCAGAAGAAACGAAGUUGUUUGAGACAGGAAACGUCUAGUAUAUUUGGAAAACGAUCAGAGCAAAGCUGUACAAACUGUUGCGAAAGGGAUCUGUGCAACAUCAGAGUGCCU